GCGAAAUUAGCAAUCGCACUCGCAUCCCUCUCUCGUCGGAUCUCAUUCACGAUGUCCGGCGGCCCCCUUUCCAGAUCCUCCCUCUUCUCCGGCCUACUCUCCGGCCGCCAGCUGCAGCAGCCGGCGCUCCAUGUCCCACGCCGCGGUUACCAUAUCGAUCUCGGCGCUCGAGAGAAGGCGCUCUUGGAGGAGGAUUCAGCAUUGAAGAGGUUCAAAUCUUACAAGAACACCGUGAAGCGCGUUUCGAAAGUUGGGGACGCUCUUACGAUUCUCGUUGUGGCUGCAUGCAGCUAUGAGAUCUAUGCAGUAGCAGCGAGAAAAUCGGCAAACUGGUAGUGCGAUUGUACUCAUUUAGACCUUCAAUUGGUUCUGAUGUUAUGGUGGAAUAAUAGACAAUGAGUAAGAAAAUAAAGCACUUAAGCUUGUAA
This 428-nucleotide unclassified non-coding RNA is filed under the name Hevea brasiliensis (rubber tree). The record is from RNAcentral. Lineage: Eukaryota; Viridiplantae; Streptophyta; Magnoliopsida; Malpighiales; Euphorbiaceae.